GAUGAACGCUGACGGCGUGCCUAAUACAUGCAAGUCGAGCGAACAGACGAGGAGCUUGCUCCUCUGACGUUAGCGGCGGACGGGUGAGUAACACGUGGAUAACCUACCUAUAAGACUGGGAUAACUUCGGGAAACCGGAGCUAAUACCGGAUAACAUGUUGAACCGCGUGGUUCAACAGUGAAAGACGGUCUUGCUGUCACUUAUAGAUGGAUCCGCGCCGCAUUAGCUAGUUGGUAAGGUAACGGCUUACCAAGGCAACGAUGCGUAGCCGACCUGAGAGGGUGAUCGGCCACACUGGAACUGAGACACGGUCCAGACUCCUACGGGAGGCAGCAGUAGGGAAUCUUCCGCAAUGGGCGAAAGCCUGACGGAGCAACGCCGCGUGAGUGAAGAAGGUCUUCGGAUCGUAAAACUCUGUUAUUAGGGAAGAACAAAUGUGUAAGUAACUAUGCACGUCUUGACGGUACCUAAUCAGAAAGCCACGGCUAACUACGUG
Molecule: ribosomal RNA, 497 nt
Filed under: uncultured bacterium
Lineage: Bacteria
Description: partial 16S ribosomal RNA
Rfam family: Bacterial small subunit ribosomal RNA
Source: RNAcentral